Molecule: ribosomal RNA, 119 nt
Organism: Dendrobium catenatum
Lineage: Eukaryota; Viridiplantae; Streptophyta; Magnoliopsida; Asparagales; Orchidaceae
Source: RefSeq, a predicted model, not a curated record
GGGUGUGACUAUACCAGCACGAGUACACCGAAUCCCAUCAGAACUCCGCAGUUAAGCAUGCGUGGGCGAGAGUAGUACCAGGAUGGGUUACCUCCUGCGAAGUCCUCAUGUUACACCCA